GCUCGCUUGGUCUAGUUGGUUAUGGCGCCGGUCUCAUAUUUCCAAGUAUGACUGCUUCUCAGAAGCGGGUGAUCCGGAGGUCGGCAGUUCGAUCCUGCCAGCGAGCA
Molecule: non-coding RNA, 107 nt
Organism: Aplosporella prunicola CBS 121167
Lineage: Eukaryota; Fungi; Ascomycota; Dothideomycetes; Botryosphaeriales; Aplosporellaceae
Source: the annotation of a RefSeq genome assembly